Molecule: ribosomal RNA, 425 nt
Filed under: uncultured bacterium
Lineage: Bacteria
Description: bacterial SSU rRNA
Rfam family: Bacterial small subunit ribosomal RNA
Source: RNAcentral
GUGGGGAAUAUUGGACAAUGGGCGCAAGCCUGAUCCAGCCAUGCCGCGUGAGUGAUGAAGGCCUUAGGGUUGUAAAGCUCUUUCACCGAUGAAGAUAAUGACGGUAGUCGGAGAAGAAGCCCCGGCUAACUUCGUGCCAGCAGCCGCGGUAAUACGAAGGGGGCUAGCGUUGUUCGGAUUUACUGGGCGUAAAGCGCACGUAGGCGGUUUGUUAAGUGAGAGGUGAAAUCCCAGAGCUCAACUCUGGAACUGCCUUUCAUACUGGCAAGCUAGAGUCCGGAAGAGGUAAGUGGAACUCCUAGUGUAGAGGUGGAAUUCGUAGAUAUUAGGAAGAACACCAGUGGCGAAGGCGGCUUACUGGUCCGGAACUGACGCUGAGGUGCGAAAGCGUGGGGAGCAAACAGGAUUAGAAACCCUAGUAGUCC